UGCAGCUUUGUCAAAUUCAUUGGGUUCUGGCCAAAUAUGACUGCCAGAGAGAAUGUAGCUCAUGGGUCCUUUGGGUUUACUGGGGAUAAAUGUGCUCCAAACACAA
Phycodurus eques (leafy seadragon) is the source of this 106-nucleotide small nucleolar RNA. RefSeq annotates it as small nucleolar RNA SNORA5. The record is from RefSeq and is a predicted model, not a curated record. The transcript has a single exon. NCBI's taxonomy places the organism in Eukaryota, Metazoa, Chordata, Actinopteri, Syngnathiformes, Syngnathidae.